This is a long non-coding RNA of Callithrix jacchus (white-tufted-ear marmoset), 798 nucleotides long. RefSeq lists it as uncharacterized. The record is from RefSeq and is a predicted model, not a curated record. Lineage: Eukaryota; Metazoa; Chordata; Mammalia; Primates; Cebidae.
CAUUCGAAGCAAAAGCAUGCAGUUCAAAAGCUAAACCUCCCAUUGGAGAACAGAAAAUUUAAUGAGCUUUUAAUGGAAUGCAAUGCUCAGAGUAGUAAAUUAUUUGUUAGUUGACGAUGCAAUCAGCAUGCUGAUUAAGGUUGCUUGGUUUUUUACUAAACAUUAACUGAAUGAAAACGGGUAGUCCUUGUUCUGCUUGGGGGGCUUUAAGGAAGCAAAUGGACUUUCAGAACAGAGAUUGUCAAUAAAGACUAUGUGAGAAGGGAUCCAAAAUCAAGCAGUUUGGAAGCUGAUACACAAAGAGUUUGCCCUGUUCUUGGCUUCCUAGAACUGGGGACUCUUUUGCUGGAAAAACUCAAAAGGGCCUUUUGGUGUUGAGAUGAAGAUCUCUGUCCAAGGAAUACCCAGCUCCAGUUCUGGAUAUGUCCUCUGAGAAGGUGCUCAUGACACCAUCCACACCAGAAGUUGAAGCAGAUACUGAGGGAAGGUUCCACGGCAGCUGAGUGUGGACAAACUAAUCACUGAAUUUCCUUGAUGCAGAGCUGAUAACCUCUCUGGAGUUGGAUGGAGGCCUGUGCUGCCUUGAACCUCUGAGAGAUGCCAUACCAAUUCAAGGCAAGGCCUUUAUCGUUGAAACUCUUGGAUAAUGACAUCUUUAUUCAGGUGAAAAUACAGAAUGAAUUUCAACUGUAUGAUAUUGUUUAUGUUCAUCAGACAUGUUAUUUUCUUUACAAAGUCUGGUUUCAAUAAACUGGCUGUGUAACUGAUAUUAAAUAAACAUGGAAUUUUACACAUUCA